CUCUCUUCUUUCCAAAAUCACUUCAAAGAAACCCUAAAACCAUUUGUCUGGGUUCAAGCAACAAGGUCAGCUUUCUUUUGUCUUUUGGUUUACAUGAUUCUCCUAUCUUAAUGCUUUCAUUAUAUUUAAUUUUGUAAAAGAGAAACAAGAGAGAGAUGCUGCAGAUGAGAGACGCCGACGGGAGAUGGUCAUCUUCUCCGACGACUGGUGUCAGCGAUAGGGCUUUCUUAGUAGCCAGCAACAGCAACGAUGGUGGUUCCAAAGUGGUUGUUGUUGUUGUCAUCAGGGUUCAGCAAAGGGUGAGAUCUGUCUUCCAACGGCUAGGGUUCCGCCAUGAAUCACUGGCGGCAAUGAACAUUGAUUAUUGACAUAGUCCAGUCGACCAAUUUCAUGCUCUGUGACUCUGAGUUUCCAAUUGAAGGAUCUGUCAACAACAUUGUCAAACGGGUCUAACCAAAUUAGUUGAUUGGAAAGUGAGGUAUUGAAAUUUGGGGUCAUGCAGUUCAAGAAAUGAUUGAAUCCAAAUAUUCUCUCUGGGAGAUCAAAGAAUUGUAAACAAAGGAAUGGGACAUGUUAUCUGAACUUAUUUAGACUCAAACGAGAGUGGAACUGGGAAUGAAGAGCUUAAUGACGAUGCUGCCCAUGAAGAUGAAGACUAUGACAUAGUGACUAUUCAUUUGACUUGACGGUACUGGUCGCAUAAUAUGGCGGAAAGGUUGGUUAGUUUAUCUUCACACAUUUUAUUUGUUCCUGAUCUAUGUAAGAUGUCGGGUUCCACAACACAGUACACACAUAAACAAGAUUAAAGAAAUGCAAAACUGGAUGGGAAGCUUCAAGAAGGAAGGGCCGAAAUGAACAAAUUUGGCAUAUCAGUGGGGUUUUUUUAGUACAACGGCUGGUGGCGUUUCUCACUUUUUUCUUGUGGAGGACCCGAAUCCGAGCUUGCGUCUAAUCUAUCAACUAUUUCUCCACCAAAUUCCUAUGUCAACGGUCAACACUAUUGAAUAAUAUAAUUUAUUGUAAGACCACCCGUGUAACACACGGGUACUUGAACCUUUGUAUUUUUUCCAAGUUUAAGGUUUUCAAGUUAAAAAUUCUUUUUGGUGA
Helianthus annuus (common sunflower) is the source of this 1107-nucleotide long non-coding RNA. RefSeq lists it as uncharacterized. The transcript is spliced from 3 exons. The record is from RefSeq and is a predicted model, not a curated record. Lineage: Eukaryota; Viridiplantae; Streptophyta; Magnoliopsida; Asterales; Asteraceae.